RNAcentral lists this ribosomal RNA (732 nucleotides) under Mixta gaviniae. Its description in RNAcentral is "bacterial SSU rRNA". It matches the Rfam family "Bacterial small subunit ribosomal RNA", at positions 8 to 729 of the family's 1533-position model. Lineage: Bacteria; Pseudomonadati; Pseudomonadota; Gammaproteobacteria; Enterobacterales; Erwiniaceae. The record is from RNAcentral.
AGAGUUUGAUCCUGGCUCAGAUUGAACGCUGGCGGCAGGCCUAACACAUGCAAGUCGAACGGUAACAGAGAGCAGCUUGCUGCUCUGCUGACGAGUGGCGGACGGGUGAGUAAUGUCUGGGGAUCUGCCCGAUGGAGGGGGAUAACCACUGGAAACGGUGGCUAAUACCGCAUAACGUCGCAAGACCAAAGUGGGGGACCUUCGGGCCUCACACCAUCGGAUGAACCCAGAUGGGAUUAGCUAGUAGGUGGGGUAACGGCUCACCUAGGCGACGAUCCCUAGCUGGUCUGAGAGGAUGACCAGCCACACUGGAACUGAGACACGGUCCAGACUCCUACGGGAGGCAGCAGUGGGGAAUAUUGCACAAUGGGCGCAAGCCUGAUGCAGCCAUGCCGCGUGUAUGAAGAAGGCCUUCGGGUUGUAAAGUACUUUCAGCGGGGAGGAAGGGAUGGAGCUUAAUACGCUUCGUCAUUGACGUUACCCGCAGAAGAAGCACCGGCUAACUCCGUGCCAGCAGCCGCGGUAAUACGGAGGGUGCAAGCGUUAAUCGGAAUUACUGGGCGUAAAGCGCACGCAGGCGGUCUGUCAAGUCGGAUGUGAAAUCCCCGGGCUCAACCCGGGAACUGCAUUCGAAACUGGCAGGCUAGAGUCUCGUAGAGGGGGGUAGAAUUCCAGGUGUAGCGGUGAAAUGCGUAGAGAUCUGGAGGAAUACCGGUGGCGAAGGCGGCCCCC